GGCAGGUAGCAGUUCCAGCAUGGAAUUCCUCACAUUUCAGAAGGCCUUUACUUUCCUGCUAGGCACCAGUAUGAUAAUGAAGUCAUUAUACGUGACUGCCAUACUUCCAUCCCAAAGUGGAUGAGGGAAGACUGUGCAAGACACUACAGAAACUUAUGAAAACCUGCUGUCCAACACUUCUUUGACAAUUGGCAUAUUGGAAGAGAAAUCCAGAAAGUACUCAUAAAGCAAAGAGAAAACAUGAGAGAUCAUUGGCAAGCAGAGAAAAGCCUGAGUGAGACACUUAUUGGGCCAUCACAUCAUCGAAAGAACACCUAGAGGAGGUGAAAUCAGUCACAUUUCAUGCCUUCCUCUCCCAUGUGCUUAACAAGCACAAAGAUCUACCAAACAGAUUAUUCAAUGCCUGUGCACAUGGAAACAUCACAACUCUACGUGUAUGGAUAACCAAAGAUGUUUCUGUGAGGAAUGGAUGGCAUCAGUAGUUUUAAAAUCCAAGCCUGAUGUUUGGGCAUUUUUGGAGGAGCUGUGAGAUUUGUUUUGUUUAAGUGUUGAGUACAAAAAGGUACAAUAUGGAAGGCUUGUUAAUCAUUAUCCUAACAUGAGAGGGCCUUUAACUGG
Pocillopora verrucosa is the source of this 618-nucleotide non-coding RNA. The record is from RefSeq and is a predicted model, not a curated record. NCBI's taxonomy places the organism in Eukaryota, Metazoa, Cnidaria, Anthozoa, Scleractinia, Pocilloporidae.